GCUGGGCAUGGUGGUGCAUGCCUGUAAUCCCAGCUACUCAGGAGGCUGAGGCGGGAGAAUUGCUUGAACCCAGGAGGCGGAGGUUGCAGUGAGCCGAGAUCGUGCCAUUGCACUCCUGCCUGGGUAACAAGAGCAAAACUCCGUCUCAA
RNAcentral lists this small RNA (149 nucleotides) under Callithrix jacchus (white-tufted-ear marmoset). RNAcentral's name for it is "Metazoan signal recognition particle RNA (ENSCJAG00000085296.1)". Lineage: Eukaryota; Metazoa; Chordata; Mammalia; Primates; Cebidae. The record is from Rfam by way of RNAcentral.